GAAUUUUGGACAAUGGGGGCAACCCUGAUCCAGCCACCCCGCGUGUGCGAUGAAGGCCUUCGGUUUGUAAAGCACUUUUGGCAGGGAAGAAAAGGCUCUGGCUAAUACCUGGAGCUGCUAACGGUACCUGCAGAAUAAGCACCGGCUAACUACGUCCCAGCAACCGCGGUAAUACGUAGGGUGCACGCGUUAAUCGGAAUUACUGGGCGUAAAGCGUGCGCAGGGGGUUCGGCAAGAAGGAUGUGAAAUCCCAGGGCUUAACCUUGGAACGGCAUUCUUAACUGCCGGGCUAGAGUAUGUCAGAGGGGGGUAGAAUUCCGCGUGUAGCAGUGAAAUGCGUAGAGAUGCGGAGGAAUACCGAUGGCGAAGGCAGCCCCCUGGGAUAAUACUGACGCUCAUGCACGAAAGCAUGGGGAGCAAAC
Molecule: ribosomal RNA, 422 nt
Filed under: uncultured bacterium
Lineage: Bacteria
Description: partial 16S ribosomal RNA
Rfam family: Bacterial small subunit ribosomal RNA
Source: RNAcentral